RNAcentral lists this ribosomal RNA (1016 nucleotides) under Triticum aestivum (bread wheat). RNAcentral describes it as "partial small subunit ribosomal RNA". The record is from RNAcentral. Lineage: Eukaryota; Viridiplantae; Streptophyta; Magnoliopsida; Poales; Poaceae.
UUGGUGGCCGAGGGUAGAACUAGGUGUGGAGUGGAGUCGAGUGGACGAGGGGAGGGAGGCGGACGGAAGAGGGUGGUGGAGGUAUAGAGAGAGAGGUUAGGUAAGGAGGAGGAACCCUCUCUGGUUCGCGUUGAGUGGAGUUGUUACUUCCCGUCCUCCGUCUCGUACCACGGCCUGCCCCCGACGUCGCGGUCGUUCUACCUCGCGUUCCUGCACCUCUUCUUGGCGUCCGACGUGUACUUCCCGGAGACGGAGUUCGAGAGGAGGGAGCAGGGCGGGAGGAGGCGUGUGGUGGAGGCUGUGAUAAGAAGAUGAAGAAGGAGUGGUGGCAGGUCGUUGUUCCUGCGCCGCUGCGUCGACCUGGUCGACCUGUCGCGGCGCCGCAUGUAGUUCGUCGAGGCCCCGGCCUAGCUGGUGGAGUUCGCGGCGUUCGUCCGGCGGGAGAGGCCGCCGUGCCGGCCGACGAGGAGGAGGCAGAGGCGGCCGCUGAUGUUCAGUGUCUGCCGGAGCGACGGCCACUAGCUCCAAGCCGUGGUCCUGCCCUGCGAGCUGCACCGCGACCGCUCGCUUAGGCCCGCCGGCAAGGCCGACGUGCUCCACUAGCGGCACGACCUCGUCCUCCCGCGGCUCCACCAGUCGCGGUCGAAGAGCCAGCAGCCGCUGUUCUAGAAGAUGUGCCAGGUAAGGGUCCGCUACACGGGGGCGUAGCCGGAGCUCGGGCCGUCCCAGCGGGUGGCCGAGGCGCCGGAGCGGCGUCGGCGUCGGCGGUGGCAGAGCAGCAGCCAGGAGGACUGUACUAGAGAAAGAAAGAACAAAAACGGUACCACUGUCUGGUCGGCCAGAUAAAAAAGUAGUUAGCGUCGUCGAAUCGUAUCGAAUCAUGACGAGAUGAGACGAGCAGUAACUCGAAGUCCAGACAGACUUUAGAUGAUGAUCGCAUCAGUACACAUGGACGUAUAGAGGAGGAAACACUUCUACACUCUGUAAAAUCGUAAGUCUUACAACCUAAAGAAAGA